UAAAUAUUAGGCUUUAGCUACAAAUCAGACACACCAUUCUGUAGAAAUGAUGCUUGAAAUUCUUAGGGAAAAGACUGCGCAAAAAUUUCCCAAGGACCCAAGGACGCUCUUGAAAACACCAAGAACAGCAACAAAUAUUACAAAUAUUGAAGGAGGACAAUAUUGGUACAACGGUUUGCAGAAGUGUAUCAUCAAUAAUUUCAGUUUCAGGGACGACGAAAUUGAUGUGGAAACUAUUUCUAUUAAUAUUUCUAUCGAUGGCUUACCCUUACAUAUGAGUUCGUCCACGCAAUUUUGGCCAAUACUCGCAAAUAUACAUGAACUUCCUGACUUUCCUGUCAUGACUGUAGCGAUUUUCUGUGGCCCCAAAAAGCCAGGAAAUCUGGAUGAAUUUUUAGGACCCUUAAUCACUGAACUAAAUUCAUUAAUGGCCAAUGGAGUUUUUGUAAAGUCCAGAAAGAUAGGAGUAAAAAUACGAGCAAUAAUAGCAGACUCACCAGCCAGAGCAUUUAUAAAAGGUGUUGCUUAUUUCAACGCGAAGAAUGGGUGUUUGAAGUGUAAAUGUGUUGGAGUAUUUAACCACGAUUCGAAUACAGUUGUGUUUAGAGGCAUUAACGCUCCUCUCCGAACUGACAAGGAAUUUAGAGAAGCAUCCCAGACCGCACAUCAUAAAAUCUUGACACCUCUACUGCUACUGGAUAAUUUCGACAUGAUACAGAAUGUUAUUAUCGCAGACGUACUGCAUUUGAUAUACUUGGGUAUUAUGCGAAGAUUACUGUUUGGGUGGAGAGAUGGUACCUUAGGUUAAUACACAAAGUGGGCUUCCAGUACGAUUGAACAAAUUACUAAGUGGUUAAAAAAUGUUAAAUUACCUUAUGAAAUUCAUCGUAAAACACGAGAUCUAUAUUGUUUGCGACAUUGGAAAGGCACAGAAUAUAGUAGUUUUUUUUCAUUAUUUAAGCUUUGUUAUCCUAAAGCACUAUUUACCAGAAGACGCAUACGAACAUUUUAUGCUUCUAUUUUGUUCAAUUACAUUAUUGUCGUCAAACAUUUACAAAUCAAAUUGGAAACUUGCUGCCGAAAUGCUUGAGCAAUAUUUUCUAGACUUCGAGAAGAUUUAUGGUGUAAAGUAUAUGACCAGCAAUGUUCACAAUU
Molecule: long non-coding RNA, 1155 nt
Organism: Anopheles gambiae (African malaria mosquito)
Lineage: Eukaryota; Metazoa; Arthropoda; Insecta; Diptera; Culicidae
Exons: 3
Source: RefSeq, a predicted model, not a curated record